GUCGAUCUGGUGUCUGCACUAAGAUCAAUGUCGGUAUGGUGUUUUGAAGGGAGCUCUGGACUACCAGGUUGCCUAAGGAGCGGUUCCCUGGCUCAGGGUGGGAACCAAGAAGGUCAAAGCCCCCGUACCAAUCAGUAGUGGGAUAGUGCCUGUGA
Ictalurus punctatus (channel catfish) is the source of this 155-nucleotide unclassified non-coding RNA. It matches the Rfam family "Metazoan signal recognition particle RNA". Rfam says of the family: The signal recognition particle (SRP) is a universally conserved ribonucleoprotein. It is involved in the co-translational targeting of proteins to membranes. Lineage: Eukaryota; Metazoa; Chordata; Actinopteri; Siluriformes; Ictaluridae. The record is from Ensembl.